This is a non-coding RNA of Vicugna pacos (alpaca), 3452 nucleotides long. Lineage: Eukaryota; Metazoa; Chordata; Mammalia; Artiodactyla; Camelidae. The record is from RefSeq and is a predicted model, not a curated record.
GAAAAGAAAUAAGUUAGACUUAUUUCAGAGUUUUAAAUUCUGCUCUUUAGAAUACAGCUUUAAGAGAAUGAAACAACGUAACACAAUUUGGAAAACCAGGACUUGUACUUGAAUCUCUUCAUACUGAUAGUGAAAUCCCCAGGGUAUCAAGUUAAGUUAAAAAAUGAGGGCUCCAGGAGAAAUCACAGGAGGGUUCUCAAUCUCUGUCUGUCUCCUUUUUUAAAAUCUCAGAGUGGAGGAAGUCUUCCUGACUAUUCCCCCAACAUCAGGUGCCAUUACAGACAGACAGAUUAGACUUCAUUUUUGCAUGGCCAAAACACAAAACAGAAUCAUCAAAACCAAACUAGUAAAAUAACCAACCAACAUACAAUUGUUUGUAAUCCAUAUACUAAAGAGUUAAAUUCUCAUCAUACAUAAAGAGUUUCUGCCACUAAAUAAGGAAAAGAUCACCAACCCAACAGGAAAAUGGGCAAAGAAUAGGUUAAAAAAAAAGCUCCCAGGAAGGGAAAUACAAAUGAUCCUGAACAAAGGCACUUAAACUCACUCAUAACUUAACUAAUUAAAGUAUAAUAAUUAUAAAGUGGAAUUAAUCUAUUUCUCUGGUGGUACCACAGUUUUAAUUAUUGUAGGUUUAUAAUAAUUCUAGUGAAAAAAAUCCUCCCUAGUUAAAGAUUUUAAAAGAAAUUUAGCCAUUCCCAUUUUGGUAAGUGAUGAAAGUAUUAAUAAGAUUUUAGUAUGUUAAAUCAGCAAGGAAAAGAUGGCUUAUGUAAUAAAUAGGACAGGGUCAGUAGCUAACACCUACGUCACUGAGAUCAUCUCCCAGGCUGAUAGUGAGGGGGCUAGUCUGAGCUAGUCUGAUUUGGAAAAUUGGGCCAUAAACACCCUGCCAUGUACUCAACAUCACACACACACACACACCACUUGCCUCUGUCCCCCAUGACCAAAACGGUGCUUGAAGGUGUCUGUGUGGAGUGUGAUUAUAGGUGAUCUGAAUACUUUUCUAUAGCCUCACAUUGUCUACCAUGUGAAUUUAAAUUAAUAAUUUAUCAUCUCCUCUGAUUAUUUCCCUUAGGAUAUAAUACAUAGCCGUUGUUUUAAAAAAAGUUGGAAAAUACAGAAAAGCAGGGAGAAGAUAAAAGCAGGGAGAAAAUAAAAGUCAUCAGUUAUCCCACCCAAAAGGAGAGGAAGUAGCAUCGCUUUGCCUCGGCAGGCUCUUGGGAGGUUCUGAGAGCAAGCAGUUUGCAGAACCCUCAGCUGCCCGAGGACAGGGGCCUGGAUUUCAUCACACUCUGGACCAAGCACAGUGCCUGGCACACAGGAGGCACCAGAAACACAUGUUCACUUGGCUUAGCCCAGUCUCUCUAUUUUCAGUAGAAAAACCAAUCAACGCUUCCUGGGAGAAAUACUGAAGUUUUUGGAAACAAUUAAGCAGCAUUCAGCAAACAGCUAGGGCUGCGAACUACUAUGCACGCUACUUGAAGGUGGGACAGAUAGUGACCAAGGAGGCGGUUGGUUGAAUAGCAGCUCCGGGCGGGCGCAGAGACCCAAAUUAACUUCUGCUCACUUGUCACAGUGUGCAACUGGCUGGCUAAUAGAAGCAGCGCCAGGCCAGAUGCCCCCUUGCUGCUCUCUGACCCGGGGCAAGGGUGAACCCGAGGUCACACAGCCUCAAAGAAGCAGCCUGGGCCUGGUGGCACUCGGAUUUGGAUUUGGAUCCAGGAUGCACCUCACAGUGACCGCGAGGACCAUAAUGACGUCCAUCUGAAGCAGACAAAUAGGUACCUGGCAUGUGGUAGACACUCCUGAAAUUCACCUUCGGAUUUUUGUGGAACAUUACAUUAAAUGCUGUGUUAUGUGGAAAGAAACAGCCACGUGGAAGGCACCCAGUAGGAGGAAAUUCUCCUCCUUUUCAAGGUAAAUGUAAAAUGUUCGUUUUAAAACAAAAUUCUGCCUAGGUCUAGGCCUUGUCCCUUCUGGCUAUCAGGCAUCCUUUGACCCUGGGUCACUGAAGGCCCCCGAAGACCUGCUUUUCCCCCUCUCUCCCAUCCUCCACUUCCUGGUUUCUCUUCCCUGGCUCUGCUCCUUGCCUCCCACCACCAGCCCAACCCGCAAUGGCUGAGACCCCACGGGAGCAGAAGGCACUCAGGAGUCUGAGCACCUCUGUCUUGGGGACCUUACCUGUGCACUGAGCGGACACAGGCCCAGAAACUGACCUGCCUGGCCUUUCAGCUAGUCAUCCCCUCACCCCAGCCACACCACCACACUCUGCCUCCCUGAACCCUGCCCACUGGGGAGCACAUCUACACCCAGGAGAAAUGCAGCCCUGGGGUGGGAUGCUGCUGAGAGGCUUCCUUACCUGCUGCAGCCUGAUUUCUUGAUUGAAAAUGAAGAUCUCUUGUCUACUUCAGUCAGUCUUCCCCACAGCUGUGAGGCAGAGGGCUCUGCUCAUGAACCCUGGGACCUCCUAGUGGCUUCUCCCCUGCUUUGGAUACAAUCAGAGUUCUCCCCGGCAACAGCGACACACACACACUGUCACCUUUUGAACCCCGACCCCUCCCUCCCAGUAUCAGAGAGCCUGCCCUGAAAUACGCCCCCUCAUAGAGUAACAGCGAUCCUGCCCCAAACACCACCCCAAGUAGCAUAGAUCCUGCCCUGAAAUACCCCCGCCCUCCACCAGCCUGAGAGCAUUCCCCCCGCCCAGGUCCAGCUGCACACCAGUCCCACCCGGAAGCCUUCUGAGAUUCCGGCAUUAAUGCCAAUCCAGUGUGGCCACCUGUGCUCUGUGUCCUUGGCCCUAACUUUCUGGAUGGAGAAAAGGCCUUUUUCACUUGCUCUCCAUUGUUGAGGGAUGACGUAUUUAAACUCCUUUAAAAAUCAAAAUGGAGGAACUGUAGUUCAGGCAUCCAAAAUGGAGCCUGGUGGCCAUUGUGGAUGUGGCUUCAGACAUCUUCCUGCAUCAGCUCCUGACUUUUCUGAACUAUAUCAAGCUCAAGGAAAUCACCAGCUGCAAACUUACAGUCUCAAGGUAUCCCCUUGUAACUGUGUAACCGUUUUGGGCCCCAACUAACCCCUGCUUAACAAGCGUCCUUACUUGUUGUCAGUUCUAAUCCUAAUUCUUGACAAAAAACUUAUGUAACUUUGUGGGUUUUGUGUAUAUAAGCCUCCUCCACUUUGUGGGUGGAACACAAUUCAGGUGCUUCUUGAACCUGUCUCCUAGGCUGUAGUCCUCACUUUGGCUCAAAUGAAACUCUCUUCUGUCCCUUAUUGUGGAUUGUUUAUUGAUUAUUUGCAGCAACACUAGUUUCCAUUCAUUUCAUGUGACAACGGGCAGGGGGUCCCAGACUCCUGUUACUUGUUUGGUGUGAAUGCUUCCAGAUCCUUUGCUAGAUGUCUACACACCUACAGAUACUCCCUUGGAAAAUAAAGUUUUCUGAGUUUUUGGAGGAAAAAAC